AAGUCGUAACAAGGUUUCCGUAGGUGAACCUGCGGAAGGAUCAUUAUUGAAAAAGACAAGACGCCCCGUUUUUUCGUAAAAUGGGUUCAAUACCCACAACCGUGUAUACCUUACCUUUGUUGCUUUGGCAGGCCGCCCGUCCGGGCUGUUGGCUUCGGCCUGACUAGGCGCCCAUGCCAGAGGAUCCCAAACUCUGUGUUUAGUGAUGUCUGAGUAAUAUAUUAAAUAUUUAAA
Molecule: unclassified non-coding RNA, 234 nt
Filed under: plant metagenome
Description: partial contains small subunit ribosomal RNA and internal transcribed spacer 1
Rfam family: Eukaryotic small subunit ribosomal RNA (bases 1-46)
Source: RNAcentral